RNAcentral lists this ribosomal RNA (464 nucleotides) under uncultured bacterium. Its description in RNAcentral is "partial 16S ribosomal RNA". It matches the Rfam family "Bacterial small subunit ribosomal RNA", at positions 339 to 795 of the family's 1533-position model. The record is from RNAcentral.
CUACGGGCGGCUGCAGUGGGGAAUUUUGGACAAUGGGCGAAAGCCUGAUCCAGCCAUUCCGCGUGAGUGAUGAAGGCCUUCGGGUUGUAAAGCUCUUUCGGCCGGGAAGAAAUCGUGCAGGCUAAUAUCCUGCAUGGAUGACGGUACCGGAUCAAGAAGCACCGGCUAACUACGUGCCAGCAGCCGCGGUAAUACGUAGGGUGCGAGCGUUAAUCGGAAUUACUGGGCGUAAAGCGUGCGCAGGCGGAUGUUUAAGCCAGAGGUGAAAUCCCCGGGCUUAACCUGGGAAUGGCAUUUGGAACUGGACAUCUAGAGUGUGUCAGAGGGGGGUGGAAUUCCACGUGUAGCAGUGACAUGCGUAGAGAUGUGGAGGAACACCGAUGGCGAAGGCAGCCCCCUGGGAUAACACUGACGCUCAUGCACGAAAGCGUGGGGAGCAAACAGGAUUAGAUACCCGGGUAGUC